Carcharodon carcharias (great white shark) is the source of this 2556-nucleotide long non-coding RNA. RefSeq lists it as uncharacterized. The record is from RefSeq and is a predicted model, not a curated record. The transcript is spliced from 3 exons. Lineage: Eukaryota; Metazoa; Chordata; Chondrichthyes; Lamniformes; Lamnidae.
UUGCUCGGGCCGUCUGGGUGCUGAAGAGGUUUUAGGAAACGGGUGAGAGCGAGCAGGCGGAUGGAGGAAUGCAGCCGGGAGCUGAGAGUCGAGAGAGAGCCGAGGCUUCAUAAACACCAGGUGUUGGCCUCAAAGCCCGAAUAAGAGGAAUGGAAUCGCGUUUGCAGGUCCGGGCCUUUUAUCCGGGAGCGUCCCCAGAGAGUUAGAAGAUUUGAAGACUGCCAGAUUUUUCUCUGCCUCCGGUGUUUCUGAUGUCUUUCCAACUGCAGGUUCCAGCGGGAGAUUUUAAAAUAAUUUCAGAGGGUAUUAAAAGGGGAGGAUUUGCUGUCAGGAAGCUCAAACAUCAUGCCAGGAUCUGUUGCAGUUGCCCAAUUUAUUGUAUCCUGAAUAUCAUCAGAUUUUUAACAUGGAGGCAAAAAGCACCGUUCACAGUGCGGAGAAACCGUACACAUGUUCAGUGUGUGGACGAGGCUUCAGCCAAUCAUCUGACCUGGCGAGACACAAGUGCAGUCACACUGGGGAGAAACAGUGGAAACGUGGGGACUGUAAUGAGGGAUUCAGAUUCCCAUCUGAGCUGGAAGCUCAUUGACGCAGUCACACUGGGGAGAAGCCAUUCGCCUGCUCCGUGUGUGACAAAGGAUUCAUUCGGUCAUCCCACCUGCUAAAACAUCAGUGAGUUCACACUGAGGAGAGACCUUUUAAAUGUCCAGAUUGUGGGACAUGCUAUAAAAGUUCUGAUGAGCUUAUGUCCCAUCAAUGUGUUCACACUGAUGAGAGACCUUUUAAAUGCCCAGAUUGCGGGAAGUGCUUUAAAAGUUCCAGUGAACUGAUGUCCCAUCAACGUGUUCACACUGACGAGAGACCGUUCAGGUGCUCUCACUGUGAGACUGGGUUUAGACAAUCAUCUCAACUCACUGUACACCAGCGGAUUCACACUGGGGAGAGGCUAUUUACCUGCAUUGAGUGUAGGAAGGGAUUCACUCGGUUAACUGACCUCCUGACACACCAGCGCGUUCACACUGGGGAGAGACCAUUCACCUGCCCUGUGUGUGAGAAGAGUUUUACUACCUUAUCCAACCUGCUGAUACAUCAACGCUCUCACACUGGGGAGAGGCCAUUCAUCUGUACUGAGUGUGGGAAAGGAUUCAUUCAGUCAUCCACCUUGCUGAUACACCAGCGAGUUCAUACUGGGGAGAGGCCAUUCACCUGCUCCGAGUGUGGGAAGGGAGUCACCACCUUAUCCAACCUGCUGACACACCAGUGAGUUCACACUGGGGAGAGGCCAUUCAUCUGCUUUGUGCGUGAGAAGAGAUUUGCUUACUCAUCCUCCCUGCUGAGACACAAGCGGGUUCACACUGGGGAGAGGCCAUUCAUAUGCUCUAUGUUUAAUAAGAGAUUUGCUCACUCAUCCCACCUGCUGAGACACCAGUGGGUUCAUGAAUAACUAUGGUGAUGGAAUUUGCUGUUAAUCACAUCUAGGACUGAAUCAUGUCAUUGGAGUCUGUUUCUGCUGAUGUUAAUAAACUCCAGCCCACAUUUAGUGGUUAACAUUGUGGAUAAAAGUCAAAUAAAUCAGCUUUGUGUUAAAUACAGUGUGUUAAGCCUUUUCAAUAUCCCAAACACAAGUUAUUCCUUUUGAAGUGCUCUCCCUCUUUCCUACAUCCUCACCUCCAAAACCAAGUGUGAUUUGCUCAUGGAGCUUCUUUGUCACUGAUAUUGAGACAAUCUGAUCAGCUGCCUCUGCUGCUUCCCUCCCUUCCACUAGCCCACCGGGAUUUCCUGUUUGUCGGCUUCUUUCUCCAUCCAGCUUCCAUACACACCAGCAAGCUCAUACUGGAAAGAGAGGUUUUAAAUGCUUAAACUCAGGUUCACUGAUGAUGCGCCAGUGUGUUCACUCCGGUUCCACUCCAUUUGUCUGAUCUCAGUGUGGGAAGAGGUUCAGGUGUCCAUCCUGCAGCAACACCAGGGAGAGGUCAUUCACCUGCUCCAUAUGUGGAAAGGGAUUCACUCAUUUCAUUCAACCUGUUGACACACGAUUGAGUUCAUACUGACAGAAGACCUUUUAAAUAUCUGGAUUGUAGGAAGUGUUAUAAAUGUUCUGUGGAACUGAUGUGCCAUCAGCACGUUCACACUGACGAGAUCGUUCAGAUGCUCUCACUGUAAGACUGGGUUCAGGUGAACUGAGUGUCCACCAGUGCAUUCACGCCGGGGCAAGACUGUUCCCUAUUCCAUGUGUGGGAAGAGAUUCACUCAGCCAUCCCACCUCACUGCACAUCACCUUGUCCACACUGAUAAGAAACCCUUUCAAUGUUCUGUGAACAGAUGUUUAAAAGCAAAUUGGAUCUUCUGACACACAAACACAUUCACAUUGGUGAGAAGCUGUUCAUCUGCUCUGAGUUUGGGAAGAGAUUCACUCAUCAUCUCACCUACUGACACACCAGUGAAUUUACAAGUCACUGGAGGAGUUGGAUUCUGCUGUUCUUGCAGCUGUUAAUCACAUCGAGGAAUAAACUAUGUUCAUUCUGACAGUUCGAGUUUGCUUCUGAUGCUUUUAAU